Rattus norvegicus (Norway rat) is the source of this 2345-nucleotide non-coding RNA. Lineage: Eukaryota; Metazoa; Chordata; Mammalia; Rodentia; Muridae. The record is from RefSeq and is a predicted model, not a curated record.
UUUGCAGAGGUUUGGGAAGACAAGAGAAGCUAGGGCUAAGGGAUAUCUUAGGCUCAAACCUGUGGCAGAUGGCUAACGGAGGUGCCCACUGAACACAUCUAAGCAGAUCUGGCUACCAGGUUCUCCCAGCAUCCCUCAGUCCCUACCUGUUACAGCGCAUGGUCAGUAUACCCUGGCCUCUACCCUAUGUUUCUUCAGCUCAGGGACUGGGCUGCCCUUCCCUGUAGAAUCCAGUCAUUUUAGUUAUUGGCCCUUUUGUCUACCCUUUACUCUCUUGGCUAUGCCCUCUUCUCACAUGGCCUGCUCAGGGUCGCGUCCACUCUGGACUCUCCCGGAUGUCCCUGCCUCUGGCUAUACUCUCCCCUUUGUCUAUAAUAAACUUUCUGCUCCACCAUACCUAGGAGUAGUCAUGUUCUUCCUUUUUUAUUUCCUUUUUUUUUUUUUUUUCUUUCAUUCCGGAGUAACAGGGAAGGGACCAGGAAGUUCAUGACAGAGUUCAUGGUACUUCUGAGGUGGAAAGGAGAGACAUUAUGGAUGCACUAGGAAGCGUGUAGAAGCCCGAGGGGCGGGGGGAGUCACUGAAGUCCUCCCGUGUUUUCUCUUAUUUGUACCUUGAGGACAUCCUCAGUGAGAUCAUGAACGUACAUCAUCAGGUAAGCUGAGGCUCCUCACAGUGAACUCAAGGAUAGCCGCCCGCUAUGGUUAUUGCUUUAGAUUGGGUCCUCCAGAUUCCAGCGUGCUUUUUCUCUCUCGAUGCUGGGGAACGACCCAGUUUUCCUUGCUUUCCCUCCUUUAGCCCUUUGCUUAGAACUCUUAAGUUACCAGUUGGCCUCUGGCAGAGCUGCAGUUUAGAAUUUAGCCAGCAGAUGGCGCUAGAGGCUAAGGGAAGACGCCCCUCCCUUCGGCCUGUCUGUCUGAUCUUGGCUCUCCUUCCCUCUUUGGUUUGAAGAGAUAGAUCGUAGCCCCUUGAUUGCCAUUUCUACGGGGACCUGCAGUCCAGCCCUAGGAAGCCGGUUGGAGACGCAGACCCUUCAGAGAGAAGAAACGAACGAGUAGAGCAAGAGGGAGAUUCUCCUAGAAAGAGCCGCUUCAUCUGUUAAGGAGGAACUAUGAAACCUCUUACAGCAGGCUGCGACCUCCCUGUCCAUCCUGUGUAAAAUAUGAAAUAAGAGUUUUAAUUACCGAGCUUGGAAGGCUGCCGACAUGUUUAAUAUUUAAUGUCUCCAAUGCCUGUGCCCCAGGCGUGCCGGCACUGACACAAUUGGGGUUUCCCUUGGGUUGGUUCUGAAUGUACUUGGACAACAGCCAGGCAGCCGCCUUCCCCAACACCUGGGAGCCUCCUGUAGCCCAGCCUGGGCCCAGGCCUGCCCUGAGCCUCCCACCCCCUGAGGGACUCCUGACGAGAAGGCCCAGUGAGGCCUGUUCUUCCACCUCAGGGUGGACAUCAGGUCCUGGAGGCCCUGCGAACUAGCUAGUUAGUACUGGACCCAGCUCAGGGUCCUGGCAGAGAAACGAGAGUCAGUAGAAGAUGGGAGCCCAGGAGGGGGCCGGGGCAGAUGAGCUUGAGUUUGAGGUCUGCUUUUCUGCAAGCCAUUUAGCCCUUUCUCUGGGUGUCACUUUUAUUAUUCAUAAAGCGGAGAGUGUAUUUCCUGCGUUCCGGGUUGUUAAUGUGUCGCUAUUUUUGAGGUUUAGCAUGUGCCAGAGCCCCGCUAAGCACUUCGCAUGUACCGUGUCUUCCUCAAUACAACGACCCUUUGAAGUGGCUAAGCUGGAACUUGGGAACGAGGCCUCCUGAUUCCAGAGCUUGCGACUCCAAGGGCUUUGUGUGGAAGAGCCUUGCGUGUUUGGAGAAAUGUGAACCACCCAGUUCCAGUCCCUGUGCAGUGGCGCCUUCCGUUUGCUAGGCAGUGGGGACUCAGGGCAGCACCUCGUACUGCGACUGUGUGCCUCACAUCUCAUUCCUGCACAGAGGUGGGGGGCACCCAAGCUGUGUCUGAUUAGUUGAUUGGCACUGUCAAAAUAGUUGAAUCCCCCAGGCAUGGUGGCGCAUGCCUUUAAUCUCAACACUUGAGAAGCAAAGGGAGGUGGAUUUCUAGUUUCAGGCCAGCCUGGUCUACACAGGAAGGCCCUUUUGUUUUGCUUUGUUUAAUUUUUGUUGUUGUUUAAGACAGGGUUUCUCUGUGUAGCCCAGGCUGCCCUGGAACUAGCUUUGUAGACCAGGAUGGCCUCAAAGUCACAGAGAUCUGCCUGCCUCUGACUCUGGAAUGCAGGGACUAAAAGUACAUGCCACCGUCAAUCGAUGGCCCUGACUUAAAAGAAAAAAAAAUAAAAGCAGAAUUCUUGGA